RNAcentral lists this long non-coding RNA (762 nucleotides) under Anas platyrhynchos platyrhynchos (common mallard). RNAcentral's name for it is "lncRNA (ENSAPLG00000023478.1)". The record is from RNAcentral. Lineage: Eukaryota; Metazoa; Chordata; Aves; Anseriformes; Anatidae.
AUCUGAGUGAAUUUUCUGAUCACUAUGAGCUCAAGUAGAAUUGCAGCAACAGCCAUGUGAAAAGAUGGGUGAUGUUCCUUCAAACACUGAGUUAUUCUGGAUAAACCAUUUUAUACACAGAUCCAAGGCUGAGAGAAGAUUUGGUACUCCUCCAAGGAGUACCAAAACCACACCACAUAUAAGCAGAUGAUGUCAUAACCAAAGAGCAUUCAGCAGAGAUGAUCUGUGGGUAUCAUGUGCAGAUGGCACUAUGUGACACUUUGAGACAAGCUCUGAAUGGAUUAAAAGCCUUAGUCUACAUUUCAUCAAGAGAUGUGAUCUUAAGACAAAGUACAUUGCAAAGGGUUAUUUGUUCAUGCCAUAGACAUAACAGAAUCUUGCAGAAACAUCCUAUUUGCAGGUGGCCAAAAGAUUCAGCCUUGAUGAUGUACCCUAAGAUGUGUUGGAGAAGUGUUGAUUUUAAACUGGAAAGGUGGCUCCAAGGAACACAUCAGCUCUCCUCGCUACCUUCCAUUUGCCGUAGCUUUCAGGAAGGAGGCACACAGAGCAAGAUGAAUUACUACAUACACCUCAUCUGAGCUUUUUUUUCAAGUUUACCUCAGCUACAGUCUUCCUGUUGGGCUAUACUCUCUCCUGAUUAGUUAUUUCAAUGUUUCUUCUUCUUUUUUAUUUAUUUAUUUAUCCUUUUUUUUGUUGUUGUUUUGUUUUGUUUUGUUUUUGUCAAACAAAUAAACAGACAGUACCAAAAGAAAAGAAAUCCCA